UCGGGAAUUUUGCGCAAUGGGCGAAAGCCUGACGCAGCAACGCCGCGUGAGGGAUGAAGGCCUUCGGGUUGUAAACCUCUUUUCUCAGGGACGAUGAUGACGGUACCUGAGGAAGAAGCCACGGCUAACUACGUGCCAGCAGCCGCGGUAAUACGUAGGUGGCAAGCGUUGUCCGGAUUUACUGGGCGUAAAGAGCGCGCAGGCGGUCGUGCAAGUCGCGUGUGAAAGCCCCCGGCUCAACUGGGGAAGGUCACGCGAUACUGUUCGACUCGAAGGCAGGAGAGGGAAGUGGAAUUCCCGGUGUAGUGGUGAAAUGCGUAGAUAUCGAGAGGAACACCAGUGGCGAAGGCGACUUCCUGGCCUGUUCUUGACGCUGAGGCGCGAAAGCUAGGGUAGCAAACGGG
This 404-nucleotide ribosomal RNA is filed under the name Bacillota bacterium. RNAcentral's name for it is "Firmicutes bacterium partial 16S ribosomal RNA". It matches the Rfam family "Bacterial small subunit ribosomal RNA", at positions 355 to 776 of the family's 1533-position model. The record is from RNAcentral. Lineage: Bacteria; Bacillati; Bacillota.